GGCCCAGCCAUUGCUACGCCUAGGCAAACGCCGUCAACGACGACGGCUGUCCAUCCAGGCAACACCUCACGACAAAGGCGCCGU
Molecule: non-coding RNA, 84 nt
Organism: Pseudomonas monteilii
Lineage: Bacteria; Pseudomonadati; Pseudomonadota; Gammaproteobacteria; Pseudomonadales; Pseudomonadaceae
Source: Rfam